ACCUGAAACCGUGUACGUACAAGCAGUGGGAGCCUCUUAAUGGGGUGACUGCGUACCUUUUGUAUAAUGGGUCAGCGACUUAUAUUCUGUAGCAAGGUUAACCGAAUAGGGGAGCCGAAGGGAAACCGAGUCUUAACUGGGCGUUAAGUUGCAGGGUAUAGACCCGAAACCCGGUGAUCUAGCCAUGGGCAGGUUGAAGGUUGGGUAACACUAACUGGAGGACCGAACCGACUAAUGUUGAAAAAUUAGCGGAUGACUUGUGGCUGGGGGUGAAAGGCCAAUCAAACCGGGAGAUAGCUGGUUCUCCCCGAAAGCUAUUUAGGUAGCGCCUCGUGAAUUCAUCUCCGGGGGUAGAGCACUGUUUCGGCAAGGGGGUCAUCCCGACUUACCAACCCGAUGCAAACUGCGAAUACCGGAGAAUGUUAUCACGGGAGACACACGGCGGGUGCUAACGUCCGUCGUGAAGAGGGAAACAACCCAGACCGCCAGCUAAGGUCCCAAAGUCAUGGUUAAGUGGGAAACGAUGUGGGAAGGCCCAGACAGCCAGGAUGUUGGCUUAGAAGCAGCCAUCAUUUAAAGAAAGCGUAAUAGCUCACUGGUCGAGUCGGCCUGCGCGGAAGAUGUAACGGGGCUAAACCAUGCACCGAAGCUGCGGCAGCGACACUAUGUGUUGUUGGGUAGGGGAGCGUUCUGUAAGCCUGUGAAGGUGGCCUGUGAGGGUUGCUGGAGGUAUCAGAAGUGCGAAUGCUGACAUAAGUAA
Molecule: ribosomal RNA, 760 nt
Filed under: Escherichia coli
Lineage: Bacteria; Pseudomonadati; Pseudomonadota; Gammaproteobacteria; Enterobacterales; Enterobacteriaceae
Description: partial 23S ribosomal RNA
Rfam family: Bacterial large subunit ribosomal RNA
Source: RNAcentral